GGCCUCGUGGCUCGGUUGGUAGAGCGUACGUUAUACAAAAGCGUAGGUGGCUUCUAUGUGUGGGUUAGAAUCCGACUGAGGCUA
Molecule: transfer RNA, 84 nt
Filed under: Echinostoma caproni
Lineage: Eukaryota; Metazoa; Platyhelminthes; Trematoda; Plagiorchiida; Echinostomatidae
Rfam family: tRNA
About the family: Transfer RNA (tRNA) molecules are approximately 80 nucleotides in length. Their secondary structure includes four short double-helical elements and three loops (D, anti-codon, and T loops). Further hydrogen bonds mediate the characteristic L-shaped molecular structure. tRNAs have two regions of fundamental functional importance: the anti-codon, which is responsible for specific mRNA codon recognition, and the 3' end, to which the tRNAs corresponding amino acid is attached (by aminoacyl-tRNA synthetases). tRNAs cope with the degeneracy of the genetic code in two manners: having more than one tRNA (with a specific anti-codon) for a particular amino acid; and 'wobble' base-pairing, i.e. permitting non-standard base-pairing at the 3rd anti-codon position.
Source: Rfam by way of RNAcentral